Molecule: small nuclear RNA, 159 nt
Filed under: Trichobilharzia regenti
Lineage: Eukaryota; Metazoa; Platyhelminthes; Trematoda; Strigeidida; Schistosomatidae
Description: U1 spliceosomal RNA
Rfam family: U1 spliceosomal RNA
About the family: U1 is a small nuclear RNA (snRNA) component of the spliceosome (involved in pre-mRNA splicing). Its 5' end forms complementary base pairs with the 5' splice junction, thus defining the 5' donor site of an intron.
Source: Rfam by way of RNAcentral
AUCAUGAAAUGACACCGGGUUCAGGGUGAUCAAGAAUGCUCUGAUCCCGGGUGAAGGCUCAUCAUUGCUCCUCGGCGGGCUGAAACUCGCGAAGGACCCUUAUCUGGUGCGCUCGGGUGUGCAGUUUUUGUCAGUGGGGACGCCUCAAGGUCCUCCUUU